RNAcentral lists this ribosomal RNA (274 nucleotides) under uncultured bacterium. RNAcentral describes it as "partial 16S ribosomal RNA". It matches the Rfam family "Bacterial small subunit ribosomal RNA", at positions 523 to 796 of the family's 1533-position model. The record is from RNAcentral.
AUACGGAGGGUGCAAGCGUUAAUCGGAAUUACUGGGCGUAAAGCGUACGUAGGCGGUUAAGUCAGUCAGAUGUGAAAGCCCUGGGCUCAACCUGGGAACUGCAUUUGAUACUGCUUGGCUAGAAUAUGGUAGAGGGAAGUGGAAUUCCGGGUGUAGCGGUGAAAUGCGUAGAUAUCCGGAGGAACACCAGUGGCGAAGGCGGCUUCCUGGACCAAUAUUGACGCUGAGGUACGAAAGCGUGGGUAGCAAACAGGAUUAGAAACCCCGGUAGUCC